GGGGAUGCCAGGCAUCGACAGUGGGUCAAAAUAUUCUUAGCAAGUCGAGCGCGCAGGAUGCGCUCGUAAAUAUCAUUCUGCAUUCAAGACAUGCAAACGUCUUUACGCAGGUGAAGAACGCGAUUGCGAAAGCGAUCACGCCUUCAUUUGCACCAGCUUUCGCUUAAUAACGGAAGCCAUCGGAUUUUCUCUGCCCUGGGGAAUUGUUCCGGUGUCAAUUAAGGGCUAGGAAUUAGUUUGCUUUAGCAGAAACUAAUUCGACUCUUGCACUGCCAAACGGUUAUUGGGAUUCUUCGUUUUCCGGUUAUCUCAAAAUCGUCAAAAUAAAGGAAGACUAAACUUGUAGAAUAAGUCUAUCGCGAUCUAUUGGACGCGAGUUCAAUUCUCGCCAUCUCCACCC
RNAcentral lists this transfer-messenger RNA (400 nucleotides) under bacterium. It matches the Rfam family "transfer-messenger RNA". From Rfam's summary of the family: Bacterial tmRNA, also known as 10Sa RNA or SsrA, is named for its dual tRNA and mRNA-like properties. Its role is to liberate the mRNA from a stalled ribosome. The record is from RNAcentral.